RNAcentral lists this ribosomal RNA (520 nucleotides) under uncultured Glomus. RNAcentral describes it as "SSU rRNA". It matches the Rfam family "Eukaryotic small subunit ribosomal RNA", at positions 569 to 1090 of the family's 1831-position model. The record is from RNAcentral. Lineage: Eukaryota; Fungi; Glomeromycota; Glomeromycetes; Glomerales; Glomeraceae.
AGCAGCCGCGGUAAUUCCAGCUCCAAUAGCGUAUAUUAAAGUUGUUGCAGUUAAAAGCUCGUAGUUGAAUUUCGGGGUUAGUAGGUUGGUCAUGCCUCUGGUAUGUACUGGUCUCACUGAUUCCUCCUUCCUGAUGAGCCGUAAUGCCAUUAAUUUGGUGUUUUGGGGAAUUUGGACUGUUACUUUGAAAAAAUUAGAGUGUUUAAAGCAAGCUAACGCUUGAAUACAUUAGCAUGGAAUAAUGAAAUAGGACGUUCGAUCCUAUUUUGUUGGUUUCUAGGAUUGACGUAAUGAUUAAUAGGGAUAGUUGGGGGCAUUAGUAUUCAAUUGUCAGAGGUGAAAUUCUUGGAUUUAUUGAAGACUAACUACUGCGAAAGCAUUUGCCAAGGAUGUUUUCAUUAAUCAAGAACGAAAGUUAGGGGAUCGAAGACGAUCAGAUACCGUCGUAGUCUUAACCAUAAACUAUGCCGACUAGGGAUCGGAUGAUGUUAAUUUUUUUAAUGACUCAUUCGGCGCCUUA